Molecule: non-coding RNA, 104 nt
Organism: Schistosoma mattheei
Lineage: Eukaryota; Metazoa; Platyhelminthes; Trematoda; Strigeidida; Schistosomatidae
Source: Rfam
GUACUCGCUUCGGUGGUACGUAUACUAAAACUGAAACGACACAGAGAUUAGCAUGGCCCCUGCGCAGGGAUGACACACAAAAUCGUGAGGCGUCUCAUAUUUUU